Cyprinus carpio carpio is the source of this 455-nucleotide long non-coding RNA. The record is from Ensembl. NCBI's taxonomy places the organism in Eukaryota, Metazoa, Chordata, Actinopteri, Cypriniformes, Cyprinidae.
CUCUUUCAACAUGAUACACAUCCUUUCAGACAUUCUCCUUUAGUCUUAAGAAAAAAAUCCAUUUUGUAAGAGUAAUGUUUGCAAGAUGGCUAAAGAGGUACAUGAAGUGUCUUCGAAGGAGCUUGUUGCUGGUCUGUCAGGUCCCUCCAUCUCGCUAAUCCAAUUAGAGUGACCCAGUGAGAGCCGAGUUUUACAGCGAGUGUAUCUGUGCUAGCAGCGCCUGACCUGAGAGAACUCAGAGGACAGUGUAAGUAGGCCAGCUGGAACUCACGCUCCUGUGACACAGGGAGAAGAGAUGAGGAGAGAAAAACAGAGAGUGAUAGAAAGACAGAGAGCACUUGAGCCAGACUGUGUCACAGCGGGUGCUGAAUGAGACACCGAUUCCUGAGGGAUGGCAGGAUGUGAGCCGACACUGUGACACGGGUUCUAGCUGAACUCCCAUGAAAUCACUUUCC